AUGCGCCCCCGGACAUGAUCGGUCAGAAAUGGCCCGUUGUGCUCCGGCCAAUCGCCAUCCUUGUGUAGUGUAUGAUUGUUGCUUUGGCGGGCCGCCUUCGGGCACCGGCUUCGGCUGGCUUGUGCCCGCCAGAGGACCCCCAACUCUGUAUGUUAGUGAUGUCUGAGUACUAUAUAAUAGUUA
Molecule: unclassified non-coding RNA, 183 nt
Filed under: uncultured Phaeohelotium
Lineage: Eukaryota; Fungi; Ascomycota; Leotiomycetes; Helotiales; Helotiaceae
Description: sequence contains ITS1
Source: RNAcentral